RNAcentral lists this microRNA (22 nucleotides) under Xenopus laevis (African clawed frog). RNAcentral describes it as "xla-miR-16b-3p". Its record names the gene xla-miR-16b-3p. The record is from miRBase by way of RNAcentral. Lineage: Eukaryota; Metazoa; Chordata; Amphibia; Anura; Pipidae.
CCAGUAUUAUUGUGCUGCUUAA